RNAcentral lists this ribosomal RNA (301 nucleotides) under uncultured bacterium. Its description in RNAcentral is "partial 16S ribosomal RNA". It matches the Rfam family "Bacterial small subunit ribosomal RNA", at positions 509 to 807 of the family's 1533-position model. The record is from RNAcentral.
CAGUAGCCGCGGGAAUACGGAGGGUGCAAGCGUUAAUCGGAAUUACUGGGCGUAAAGCGCACGCAGGCGGUCUGUCAAGUCAGAUGUGAAAUCCCCGGGCUUAACCUGGGAACUGCAUUUGAAACUGGCAGGCUAGAGUCUUGUAGAGGGGGGUAGAAUUCCAGGUGUAGCGGUGAAAUGCGUAGAGAUCUGGAGGAAUACCGGUGGCGAAGGCGGCCCCCUGGACAAAGACUGACGCUCAUGCACGAAAGCGUGGGGAGCAAACAGGAUUAGAUACCCGUGUAGUCCCUGUCUCUUAUAC